UUGCGACGCCCAACACACAAAACAAGCGGUGAGUGCUUUGGGGUGGGGUGACUGCGUACCUUUUGUAUAAUGGGUCAGCGACUUAUAUUCUGUAGCAAGGUUAACCGAAUAGGGGAGCCGGAGGGAAACCGAGUCUUAAUUGGGCGUUAAGUUGCAGGGUAUAGACCCGAAACCCGGUGAUCUAGCCAUGGGCAGGUUGAAGGUUGGGUAACACUAACUGGAGGACCGAACCGACUAAUGUUGAAAAAUUAGCGGAUGACCUGUGGCUGGGGGUGAAAGGCCAAUCAAACCGGGAGAUAGCUGGUUCUCCCCGAAAGCUAUUUAGGUAGCGCCUCGUGAAUUCAUCUCCGGGGGUAGAGCACUGUUUCGGCUAGGGGGCCAUCCCGGCUUACCAACCCGAUGCAAACUGCGAAUACCGGAGAAUGUUAUCACGGGAGACACACGGCGGGUGCUAACGUCCGUCGUGAAGAGGGAAACAACCCAGACCGCCAGCUAAGGUCCCAAAGUCAUGGUUAAGUGGGAAACGAUGUGGGAAGGCCCAGACAGCCAGGAUGUUGGCUUAGAAGCAGCCAUCAUUUAAAGAAAGCGUAAUAGCUCACUGGUCGAGUCGGCCUGCGCGGAAGAUGUAACGGGGCUAAACCAUGCACCGAAGCUGCGGCAGCGACACUGUGUGUUGUUGGGUAGGGGAGCGUUCUGUAAGCCUGCGAAGGUGGCCUGUGAGGGUUGCUGGAGGUAUCAGAAGUGCGAAUGCUGACAUAAGUAACGAUAAAGCGGGUGAAAAGCCCGCUCGCCGGAAGACCAAGGGUUCCUGUCCAACGUUAAUCGGGGCAGGGUGAGUCGACCCCUAAGGCGAGGCCGAAAGGCGUAGUCGAUGGGAAACGGGUUAAUAUUCCCGUACUUGGUGUUACUGCGAAGGGGGGACGGAGAAGGCUAUGUUGGCCGGGCGACGGUUGUCCCGGUUUAAGCGUGUAGGUGUGUGUUCCAGGUAAAUCCGGUUCACUUUAACACUGAGGCGUGAUGACGAGGCACUACGGUGCUGAAGCAACAAAUGCCCUGCUUCCAGGAAAAGCCUCUAAGCAUCAGGUAACAUCAAAUCGUACCCCAAACCGACACAGGUGGUCAGGUAGAGAAUACCAAGGCGCUUGAGAGAACUCGGGUGAAGGAACUAGGCAAAAUGGUGCCGUAACUUCGGGAGAAGGCACGCUGACAC
RNAcentral lists this ribosomal RNA (1210 nucleotides) under Salmonella enterica. Its description in RNAcentral is "partial 23S ribosomal RNA". It matches the Rfam family "Bacterial large subunit ribosomal RNA", at positions 566 to 1757 of the family's 2925-position model. The record is from RNAcentral. Lineage: Bacteria; Pseudomonadati; Pseudomonadota; Gammaproteobacteria; Enterobacterales; Enterobacteriaceae.